GAGAAAAAUCUAUGGAUAAACUGAUAUAUUUAUAAACUGGUCCUGACAUGAAUGGAAAGGAAAGUUAAUAAGCUCUUUUAUGUAUUACAACCUUGAACCAUGAGUUCUAGUGUUAGCUUGUUUUACACUCUUCUUUGACAUGAGGUGUGGUGGGAACUAGUCACACAGGUUAAUGGUGAUUAACCUGUGUGACUAAUAUCUGGGUAACAAAAGAGACUGGCGCUUUGACAAAGCAUCAUUCUGAAAAUUUGACACACCUACUUCAUCGGUACAAUAAUGACUAAUGAAGUUACUUGACUUUUACUAGAAAAGCAUAAUUGUUAAAGAGAAGGCAAUAGGACAAAUAAUGGAGCAAGCUCACUGGUUGUGUGUACUGUAUACUACAUAAUGGCUGUUGUGAUACGCUUGCACUUGACAAAACUGAAGCGUCACAGAAGAGCUGCAGCUUCAGGCUAUCUGGCUCAUACAUGAAGUUGCGACAUGCGUCAUGAAUUACUCAGCAUGAGUGGAUGGUGAAAAGCUGAGUGUGAAUGCUACAUCGGAGGAAAUCCAGCUGACUGCAUCAAGCGCUGCCUUUACAGCAAUUUCUCGCUCUGGACAAACAUGCUGUGUGUUUCAUCUAUAAAAACCGACCGUAAAUAAUGGCCACAAUAGUUGGCCACCCUCCAGGAAGGUGCCACCUUUAAGGAGAAAAAACAGGCCAAGUGAAACUUCUUUGAACAGACAAAAUAAACAGAGCGAAAACAAACAAUCAAAGUUAAUGGACUUGAUAGAUGUAGAUGAUGCAUAAAAGGUGUGAGGCUUAGAAGUAGAAGAACCUUCUCUAAAUCCGAGAAAUGUCUCCUGAUGAGCACAAUUAUCAUGUCAUUGUGACUUCUAGUGUUAUAACAAUAAAUGUCACAAAACACUGUAAUAAAAUUUUAAGUCUUUAUUACUCAUCCUUGGCAAUAAAAAUGACAUGCAGUUUCUAUCUGCAGAUGGAAACCAGACUACCCACUCACGCAGAGGGAAAAAAAUGAACUUUAUGCAGAAAGUUCCUGGUUGAGAGGUGAACCCAGAAACUUCCUGUUGUGAAACAAUGCAGCCAGCAGCUGCAAAGCUCCCAUAUCAGUCCUCAGCACAUUAUUCCAAAAGAAGCAUCCUUUAUAAUCUUUAACCAUGCAUCCCCUUCUAGAGAUAUUAGUGACUGGCUAAUUAGUGACUAAGUGAGAAUCACAUACCAAGAUUGUGAUAAACCUUUCUUUCUUAUAAGUCUUAAUUUUUAAAUAUAUAAAUCUGUCCCUUUAAAUUGAUUUCUAAGUCAUCAUGUUGGAAUGGUUUAUUUUUAGUGAUUUUGUUCUGACUCAUCCAUUAAAAAUCUAAUAAAUAUAGGUUUGGUGAGCUCUUAAGAUCUCUAUAGCUAUAAGGAAUUCAUGAGAACACCAGACGCUGAAUAUUCCAAUUUAAAAGGUAUGGCUUUUACCCUGCCAAUGCUUAUUAAGGACCAGAUGAGUAACAUCCAGUCUAAUAGCCCAAGUUCUAGUAUUUGCACAUUAACAUGAUCUUAGAAUCACAAAGAAUAAAUUGUGUUUUAUAAAAAGAAAUUAGUAAAACUUAUAAAACUUAAAUUUUAUUAGUGUUACAUAAACAAUAAAAUGUAGACUCAAGGAAAACAAUGCUUCUCUUGUUGAUGGCAAACACUGAUUAGACUACAGUGUCUAGAAUAAAUCAAACUAGGAGAGAUGACGUGUGCACAGGUGAAUGAAUGAUUGUAGUGUCAACCAGAUUGGAGUUCUCAGAUUAGAUAAAGCCUAAACAAGUGCUGGCUAUUCUACCUUUUAUCAUGCUGCAGCUGAGUUUUUUUUUUGUUUAUGUGUUGUUUCCUCAAGAAAUGGCCUCUAUCAGUUGUACUGAACUCAGAGGUUUCAGAAAACACUUCUUGUAACAAGCUG
This is a long non-coding RNA of Xiphophorus maculatus (southern platyfish), 1931 nucleotides long. RefSeq lists it as uncharacterized. The record is from RefSeq and is a predicted model, not a curated record. NCBI's taxonomy places the organism in Eukaryota, Metazoa, Chordata, Actinopteri, Cyprinodontiformes, Poeciliidae. The transcript is spliced from 3 exons.